CCUACGGGAGGCAGCAGUGAGGAAUAUUGGUCAAUGGACGAGAGUCUGAACCAGCCAAGUAGCGUGAAGGAUGACUGCCCUAUGGGUUGUAAACUUCUUUUAUAUGGGAAUAAAAUGUUCCACGUGUGGGAUUUUGUAUGUACCAUAUGAAUAAGGAUCGGCUAACUCCGUGCCAGCAGCCGCGGUAAUACGGAGGAUCCGAGCGUUAUCCGGAUUUAUUGGGUUUAAAGGGAGCGUAGGUGGAUUGUUAAGUCAGUUGUGAAAGUUUGCGGCUCAACCGUAAAAUUGCAGUUGAAACUGGCAGUCUUGAGUACAGUAGAGGGUGGCGGAAUUCGUGGUGUAGCGGUGAAAUGCUUAGAUAUCACGAAGAACUCCGAUUGCGAAGGCAGUUCACUGGACUGCAACUGACACUGAGGCUCGAAAGUGUGGGUAUCAAACAGGAUUAGAUACCCUUGUAGUC
Molecule: ribosomal RNA, 460 nt
Filed under: uncultured bacterium
Lineage: Bacteria
Description: partial 16S ribosomal RNA
Rfam family: Bacterial small subunit ribosomal RNA
Source: RNAcentral